This 284-nucleotide long non-coding RNA is filed under the name Lathyrus oleraceus (garden pea). RNAcentral's name for it is "Pisum sativum (pea) long non-coding RNA (PSAT_LNC003186)". The record is from RNAcentral. Lineage: Eukaryota; Viridiplantae; Streptophyta; Magnoliopsida; Fabales; Fabaceae.
GUUGUUCGAUUAAUCGAGUACAAGAGUUCGUGUUUAAAUAAUCGAGGAGAGGAGUUGAAAACUCAAAACCAUUACCUCUUUUAUUCUUAAGUGAAAUAGUAUUUGAUUGUGAUUAGGUAUUUUUAAUGGAGUUGAAAACUCAAAACCAUUACCUCUUUUAUUCUUAAGUGAAAUAGUAUUUGAUUGUGAUUAGGUAUUUUUAAUUCUUAAUAAAGAAUACUCGAUGUUGGAUCGAGGUUUUAAAUUUGUAUUUUUGUGAAUGAAUUGAAUUUAUUUAGUGAAUA